GUGGCUCUCAAACCAAAUGCUUUAGCAGCAAUAAUGACAUUUGGAAUUCCAGCCCACUUCAUUGAUGGUUCGAUGAUCAGCUCCUUCUCAUCAGUGAUAUAUACUUUCAUUCCUUGAAAAGUUGGCGGCAUGGAACCCAAGGUAAGUUCUUCAAAUUCAACCGAGUCAAUUUUAUAUUUUGGAAUCUGCUCACCAAUAAUGGGUUUUGCUAUGGUCCUUGCUGUCUUGCAAAUUGCCGUAUCCAAGCAAGGCCACAUGGUUUCAAUAAAUUUGUUAAGCCAGUCAACACGAUCAUAAUCCGGAUUUUUCACCCAAAGGGGUAUUUCUGGAAGCAAUCGUUGCAAUGUUUUCGAGUCUUGUUCAACCAAAGGACAAAUUACAGGAUCCUUGACAUCAGCUGGCUCAAAGUAGAUGAACACGUAGUACCCGAUCACAAUCCCAACUGAAGUUCCUACUCCAAACCCACAAAAGCCCAAUAUACUACUCAAAAUACCCAUCUGCAACCUCCUUCAGGAACCCCACUAAAAUCACCCUAUAAACACACCAACUCACUCCUUUUUGCACACUUAACACCCCCCCCCCCCCCCU
Molecule: unclassified non-coding RNA, 588 nt
Filed under: Hevea brasiliensis (rubber tree)
Lineage: Eukaryota; Viridiplantae; Streptophyta; Magnoliopsida; Malpighiales; Euphorbiaceae
Source: RNAcentral